CUUCCGUAGGGGUGACCUGCGGAAGGAUCAUUACCGAGUGUAGGGUUCCUAGCGAGCCCAACCUCCCACCCGUGUUUACUGUACCUUAGUUGCUUCGGCGGGCCCGCCAUUCAUGGCCGCCGGGGGCUCUCAGCCCCGGGCCCGCGCCCGCCGGAGACACCACGAACUCUGUCUGAUCUAGUGAAGUCUGAGUUGAUUGUAUCGCAAUCAGUUAAAACUUUCAACAAUGGAUCUCUUGGUUCCGGCAUCGAUGAAGAACGCAGCGAAAUGCGAUAACUAGUGUGAAUUGCAGAAUUCCGUGAAUCAUCGAGUCUUUGAACGCACAUUGCGCCCCCUGGUAUUCCGGGGGGCAUGCCUGUCCGAGCGUCAUUGCUGCCCAUCAAGCACGGCUUGUGUGUUGGGUCGUCGUCCCCUCUCCGGGGGGGACGGGCCCCAAAGGCAGCGGCGGCACCGCGUCCGAUCCUCGAGCGUAUGGGGCUUUGUCACCCGCUCUGUAGGCCCGGCCGGCGCUUGCCGAACGCAAAUCAAUCUUUUUCCAGGUUGACCUCGGAUCAGGUAGGGAUACCCGCUGAACUUAAGCAUAUCAAUAAGCGGAGGGGAUCAUUACCG
RNAcentral lists this ribosomal RNA (609 nucleotides) under Aspergillus oryzae. RNAcentral describes it as "eukaryotic LSU rRNA". The stretch from base 216 to 369 matches the Rfam family "5.8S ribosomal RNA". Lineage: Eukaryota; Fungi; Ascomycota; Eurotiomycetes; Eurotiales; Aspergillaceae. The record is from RNAcentral.